GGGUGGUUGGCAUAACGGCUGUGCAGAUAGCUCUUAACCCGCAGAAAUAGGUUCGACUCCUAUACCUAUACCACCCA
RNAcentral lists this transfer RNA (77 nucleotides) under Nostoc sp. C3-bin3. RNAcentral's name for it is "tRNA-OTHER". Lineage: Bacteria; Bacillati; Cyanobacteriota; Cyanophyceae; Nostocales; Nostocaceae. The record is from RNAcentral.